UAGGAUGCAUAUUGGUGCUUAAAAACUCUUUCUUCACUCAACAAAUUUUAUCAAUGCUUUUAACUCAUUCCUCCAUUUGUUCAUGGAAUUAUGUAAUGAUGAUUUGAUGUAAAUCCUUACUAAUUAAGAAUCUUGGCUACAAUCUUCUUGGCUUGACAUUCAGCUAAGUUAAAGUUAAUUGUGAAAUCUUCAUUUCUUUCAUUUAGAGUUCUCUUGGCAUAUCGUUAGUUUAGUUGAUAUGUUUGUUUGCUACCAUUCAUUAUUGUAGUUUUUCACCAUUCUUCACUUGUGGAUUGUUUGGUAGGAAGUUUUGUGAGAUAAUUCUUUGUGGAAUGACUAGGUGAUUGUUAGGACAGUUCUUAUGCAAUUUUUGUAUGCAUAAGCAACCUUUUUCUCCCCUUCCCCCAUGAUUCUUUUCAAUUCUGAAAACCUCGGGUAGCUUCUAUGUUUUCUUUCCUCUUCCCGUGAUUACUCUUUUAUGUUUUCUUUCAUCAUCGUCCCAUGUUUACUCUUCUAUGUUUUCUUUCCUCUUUCCAUGUAUACUCUUGUGUCUUCUCGUGACUAUAUUUCUAUAUCUAUACCUUUUGUUCUUCUUUUAUCACAACUUUUUGGUGAACUUUUCACCUUCCUUGAAAACACAUUUGAAUCCUAAGUCAUAUUUUUUUAAAAAAUGAAGCGAGUUUUACUCUCUUGUCCUAUAAUGGAUGCUUAUAUUCAUGUUGUCUUUGUAGGUUCAACUGGAAUCGACAACUUCAUGAGUUUACUUUCAAAGAACACUUUCAGAGACGAACAUUCUCGGUUGGUCGUUUAUGUUUUAGCAGAAAAUCUUGUUAUAUGUAUUCUGAUGCAAUUUAAAAUAUUUUUUGAUUAAGGGCUAGGAUUCCGUACUUGUAAAUUGUUGGAAGUUGAUUGGAAAUGUACGAAUAUUAUAAAUUGUAUUAUAGCGUAUAUAUAUUAAAGUGUCGGCUAUUUUUUCUAUAUGGGUGUCAAUAUUAUAAAUUCAAAAUUGUCAUUGUCGGCUACAUUAUUGUCAUUCAAAUGGUUCGUGUAAUGGCGGAGUGGCAAAGAGAACAGAAAAAAAUUGUAGUAAUCGAGUAAUUUGCAACAGGAAAAACAUGUCGUAAUAUAUGAAUUAUUAAUUGUUGUGAAUACCAAAACAAUGACAGUUUUUUUUACAAAAUUAAUUGUCACGAUUGUGCUAUCUUUGACAGAAAAAAAAUGUCGUCAAUAGCAAAAUAAUGACAUUUCUUUAAAUAAAAACUGUCGCGAUUGACAUAUCCAUGACAUUUAAAACAUGUCACAAUAAACGAAUUCGCGACAUUUAUUUAACUGUCGUUAAUACAUAAAUGAUGAUAGUUAUUUAUUGUCAUAAAAUAAAAUAUGACAGUUAUUUGAUGUCGUAGAAUGCUAACUAACGACAUUUAUUUUAUGUCAUGAAAUAAGUUAUUGCGACAGUUUUUGAAAACUGUCAUGGAAGGACUUUCCAUGACUCCCGCUUCUAUGACUGUAAAUAACUGUCAUGGAUUUUGUUCGCGACAGUAAAUAACUGUCGUCGUAAACCAUUUUUCUACUAGUGCAAUAAGCUAAACUUAAGUUUAAAUCUAACUAACACUCUCAAAAUACCUAACAAUUCUGCAUACUUCUGAAAUUCAGAAGAAUUUGGUCGUCAGAUAUCUCCUCAACAAAGCUAGCUUCAUGCAAACCAUAGGAUCAUAUUUGUUUACUUUAACUAAAACCAACGUAUUUGUGGAAAAGAGUUACGCUACUGAUGACAUGUUUUAGUUGUGCAUGGAAAUUAAUAAGAAAUUAUCUUUUGCUUACAUGUUGUCUACUUUUAAUGUUUGGAAUGCUAGACUAUGUCAUGUUAAUAAAAGAUUAAUUAGCAAUAUGAGUAGGUUGAAUCUUAUCCCUAAGUUAUCUCUGCAUGAUUUUGAAAAAUGUACACGUUGUAGUCAAGUUAAGAUAACUAAGAUAUCACAUAAAUCUGUAACUAGGGUAACUGAACCUCUAGAUUUAGUUCAUUCUAGUUUAUGUGAAUUUGAUGACACGUUACCUAGGAAUGGUAAAAGGUAUGUUAUAACCUUUAUAGAUGACUCUUCCAAUUACACUUUUAUUUACCUGCUUGAAAAUAAAAGUGACGCCUUUGACAUGUUCAAGGUGUUUAUAACUGAAAUAAUAAAUCCAUUUAACAAAAGAAUUAAAAGACUUCAUAGUGAUAGAGGAACUAAAUAUGAUUAAGUUUUUUCAAUGAGUUUUACAACUCAAAAUGAAUAAUACACGAAACAACUGCACCUUACUCUCCUAAAAUGAGUGGAAAAGUUGAAAGGAAUAAUAGAACUCUAACUGAGUUAGUAGUUGUUAUCUUGCUUGAAUCAGGAGCAACACCAUUGGUGUGGUGAAAUAAUUAAAACAGUUAAUUAUGUCCUUAAUAAGAUUUCUAAAUCAAACGGUAAAACUUCACCAUACAAAGUUCUUAAGAAUAAAGCACUGAACCUGUCUUAUCUUAGAACUUGGGGUUUUCUGACCUAUGUUAAAAUACCUGAUACUAAAAGAAGAAAACUAACUAGUAGAGCCUAUGAAUGUAUCUUCAUAGAAUACACUAAAAACAGUAAAGCUAGAUUUUAUGACUUAGAAAAUAAGGUAAUCAUGGAAUCAAACGACAUAGAUUUCCUUGAUGAUAGAUUUCCUUUUAAAUCUAGAAAUAGUGGGGCUCAAAUAGUCAAAGUAGUGGAGGUUCAAGUUCAAGUAGUUUACCUUCAGUUGGAUCCAAAUCCAAGAUAAGGAAUUAGAUCCUGAACUUAGAAGAAGCAUGAGGUUUAGAACCAUAAAAGAUUUUGGAGAAGACUUUAAAAUAUAUAACGCAGAAGAUCCUAAAGAUCUAAUAGAAGCUUAUCCUCGGUAGAUGCCAACUUAUGGCAAGAAGCUAUCAAUGAUGAAAUGGACUCGUUUGAAUCAAAUAGGACUUAGGACUUAGUUGACUUAUCCCUUGGAUGUAAAGCAAGAGGCUCCAAAUGGGUUUUGAGAAAGAAACUCAAACCUAAUGGAUCAAUAGAUAAGUAUAAGGCUAGACUAGUAGCAAAAGGUUUUAGGCAGUGAGAAAACAUAGAUUUCUUCGACACUUUCUCCAUGGUAACUAGAAUCACCUCAAUUAGAGUGCUAAUUUCCAUAGCUGCUUUGAACAAUCGCUUAAUAUAUCAGAUGGAUGUUAAAACUGAUUUUCUAAAUGGUGAUUUAGAAGAAGAGAAUUAUAUGGAACACCGUGAAGGUUUCAUAGUUCACGGUCAAGAAUCUAUAGUUUCUAAAUUAGAUAAAUCCCUCUAUGGCCUAAAACAAGCUCAUAAGCAAUGAUACAAAAAUUUUGACAACUUAAUCAUGUCCAAAGAAUUCAAAGUAAAUGAUAAUGACAAAUGUAUUUACUAUUGGAAUUUGUGUCCUUAAACUCGUAGAUUGUAAAUGUAAUUAAUUGAUCGUGUUAUUGAUAAAAUGUUAUUACUAUAAUUUCAAUAAGUGUUAUUGAUUAUAUUAUUAGUUUCGUCUUAAUAAUCUAAAUCAAAUAAACUAACAUCCUAAGCUGUUUGAUGAGUCUUGAACAGUAUGUAAAGACAUAGAAAGAUCAAUGUUCGAGAUCAACUUAAAUGGUCAGUAUAGGGAUAAGGCUGGGUACCUUAUCCUGGUAACACUAUGGAUACAAAUAAUUUUGUAUUUGAUAUAAACGCAAUGAUCCAACGCGUUCAUGUAAGUGACAUGUGAGUGAAGGUAUCCUAGUUUAAUUAAGAUUGAAUCACGAAAUAGUAACCACUAGAUGUAACUCCGAUAACUAGUUGGAUUUCUAUUUCAUUAGGAUGACCUAGGUAACUUAGUCUUAAUCUUGAGUGUAUUAUGAACUCUUGUUCGCGAGGGACUGUCUUUUAAUUUUUACAAGUGAGAGUGGUCAUAUUGCCUACUCAACAUACUUAUCAUUUUGGGGACAAGACCAAGUGGUGAGCUGAGAACAUAAUCACACAAGAUGAAAUUCACUCCUUUCUGAAUUUAGGGUAAGUAGAUGAGUGUUCCCUUAAAUGGUGUCUUUGAGACUUGAAUAAAUGGUCCUACCCUUUCUGUGACAAAAUAAGGGUUUUUGUUUAUUGGUUGGACCAUAGACAAGUUGUUCAUUAGAAGAGCACUAGUAUUUAAGGAAUAGAAGUAACUCAGAGGUAAAAUGGUAAUUUAACCUAGCUGGUGUUACGAACACUCGUGAAGUACUAACUUACUCGUAUUUGACUAUAUUCGUGGACACUGAAAUAUAUCUAUAGUGAGUCUUUAGUGAAGUGUACAUAUAGUUAAUGAAUAUCGAUUAAUGUGGUUAAUGAGUUUAGCCAAUUAAUCUUAUAUUGUUAUAGCUUGUGGUCUGUAGAUCCAUUAGGUCCCUUUCCUAACUUGUAAAGGGUAAUGAGAUUUAUUUGUAUUGGUUAUAAUUUGAAAUGUUCAAAUUUACUUUGAGAAUUAGUAUAAUGUAUGGUGAUACAUUAUAAUAUAAAAUUUAUAUCUUAUUUAAACUUUAUUAUAUAAAUUUAAUUUUAGAUAUGAUUCAAAAUUAAUUUAUAAGAGAUAAAAUAUUUGAAUGAGUUCAAAUAUUAAUAUAAUGUGAUUUAGAUUCAUAUUAAAACUAUAGGUUAAAAUUUAAUGCUUAUAUAAUACACAUUAAAACUAUAAGUCAUGAGAGAAAUUUAUAUUUAAGUAUAAUUCAAAUUUGAAUUAAAUUAAAUAUAAAAUAUUUAAUUUAGUAAUUAAUUAAUUGGAGAAUUAAUUAAUAGUUUAGUUUAUUUUUAGGGGCAUUUUUAAAAAUAGCAAAAUAAAUUAAAAUACUUACAAGUUAUAGCAAAAUUUAGGAUUAUACCAAUGAUAGUCUUCUAUCAAGCCUAUCAAUGACUAUAAGUGAUAGAAUUUGUUAUAGGUUGUAAAUAUUUUUGUAAAAUUUGCUAUUUUUGAAAAUUUCUCUUAUUUUUAUUUAAUUAAAUUUGAAUAAAUUAAAUUAAAAUGGAAAGAUAUGUGACAGAUAUUUCGAGCACUAGAGUGUCUUCUGAGUGUUGUGAAUUCCAAUUAGUACAAGUGCAAAACUAAUAAAAGAACGAGGUUGUUUUAUCCUGGGGACGAUGAGGUGAAUCAAAACUGUUUUAACACAAAGGAGCAGAGUCGUAAAAUGUCUAAAAGAGAACGAGAUCCACGACUCAACCAUCUUUUAACUAGUUUUUUUUUUUUGUUUUGCAGUUUGCAUUUUGACCAAGCAACAAGCAGGUGACUUGACGAGCAGACGACUUGAUUAGUAUGCGAGCUGAAUUGUUGGUGUUUUGAUCAAUUGGCAAGGUGUUUACUUGGUGAUUUAAACAUUACGUGAGCUAACCAAAGAAGGGAUUCUGACUAGGCGAGAUACUAACACACUAUGUGAGAUAUAGAGCGUUAAGGCUAAUCAUCACUCCUCGACGAAUUGCAACAACAAAAAUGGUUCAAUGGUCCACACAAAAUUAAUUAAGAAAAACGUAAAAUUGAUUAUAAGAAAAAAUUCAAAAUAUUUAAUUUUAGCAAAAAAAAGUAAGUAUAUUAUUAUUUUAUUUGUAACACUCAAGGCCCAUGAUUCAAAGCAGGAUUCGAAAUUCGAAUCUCCGACAUUUCCAUACAUUCUCAUCAAUCAUUUACUUGUCUUAAGUACUUAUUAGAAUGAAAGUUCUUCCCACAAACCAACAUGAGUCUUUUUAGGAUGCUUUUUUCUAGGAAAAUUCCCUAGAGAUCACCAAACAUAGAAUUGCUCCAAGUUAAGUAGGCUUAACUUUGAAGUUCCUAUGAUCGAGCCAUUGAAAAGGAAGACGCACCCUGUUGGUAUAACUAUUAACUUUUAAUUAUUAUUAGUCUUUCUUAACCUCAACUUUCAAGUCCUUAGGACUCAUCUCAUUUAGAUGUGAUAUCAAUUCAUUCAUGUCGUCGAACAACAUCUUACUGGGUGAGGUUCCGCUCUGAUACCAUUUAUAACAACUCAACUCCUUAUAGUAAGUUGAGGUCAUUAUAAAUAAAGUAAAUAACAAUUUUUUAGUUGAAAAAAAAGGAGAAAACUAAAUCCUUAAUAAAUAAAUUCAAAAUACUCGAUCAUAAAUCACUGUUGGGUAAAACAUAAAUAAAUACUUGUAAACAUAGUCCUAGUUCGUGCUCUAUCUAACUUUUAAAGAAAAUAACAUUAAAAAAAUUAAUGAGUUUCGAUAAAUUUCGAGAAAAAAUACCAAAAUCAAAUAUUGAGACAUGAAAGGCGGAAGCAACAUAAUUCCCUUAUGGCAAAUCACGGACCCUUUUUAUCAUUCGCCAACUUCCCUCUAUCUCUACCUUUGCUUGUAAAAUUAAACAUAGAAAAGAGUGAGUAUAAACAUAUACUCAGUUAAGGAACCUAUUACUACUCCUGUUAGGUGUCUGUUAAUUUUUCAUUAAGAUUCCGUGAGAAAAUAUCCAAAACUAACGUGUGCCCGAUGGAACAUACACAAUCUCGUGAUCCCGAAUGAACACUCUUAUCAAUGGGUGAACGCGAACGAAAACCAAUGAUAUCAAAGUGUAAGUAGUGAUCCCGUUGGACCGCUCAUAAGCAAGACGUUAAUAUCAAUAAUAAUAAAGUUUUUAAUAAUGUGAUUAAUAUAUCAUGCAUAAAAAUCAUGCCAGUCAUCAUCUACAACACACUAUAUGCAUCACUACAUUAAUGCAUAAUAGAAAAUACAUGCGAGCUCUUAAUCUCAUUUUCAUUUGAGAUCUAGUAGUAGAAUCACUUACCUUGAGGUUAGCUAAAACAAUAAUUUAUUGGUUAAGAGUCAAAUCUUAAUUAACUUAGUCCUAAACAUAAAAGGGAAAUAAUUUAAUAACUUUAAAAUUUACCAGUGGCUAACAUCCAAAAUUUUUCCAAUUCGACUUACCAACAAAUGAGGUUGAAACCAAUUCAACCUUGAUAGAAAAUGCACAAAUACCUACUCCAAAAACUUAGCCAAUUGAACCUUCAAGAUAAAAUAUUUAACUAGAUCCAAAUUAAUUUAUUUAGAAUCCAAAAAUUAAAUUUGGAUGAAUAUACCUAAAAUCCAAUCAAAUAUUCACCAAAAACACCCAAAUGACUCAACUGCUUAGAAACACCAAAACCCACCAAUAAUAAUUAUUUCCACAAAGAUAAUUAUCUUUCUUUUUCUCAUAUGAAUUAUAUAUAUAUAGUUAUCAAUAUCUCUAACAAAAGCUAGAAUUCCUCAAUUUAAUUAAAUAAACACCAAAAUAUAUUUAAUUAAAUUAAAUUUCAACAAAACCAUAUAAUUUACCUUCAAUUAUCUCAAAAUAUACAACACCAAUAUAUUGUAUAUAAUUAAAUAAAAAUAAAAAUAAUUAAAUUUAAAAUUAUCUUAAUUUUUAGAGUUUUAUAUUUUAUUAUACGAUCGUUUAAAUUUGAAACCUUGAAAAGAUAAAUGAUAAAUUAAAAUGAUCAUUUACCAAGAUUUAAAUGAUCGUAUACCAAUAUCUAAACAAUAUAUAGUUUAAAUUAUAUUACACGAUCACUUAAACUUGAAGUUUUUUUCAUGAUUGUUUAAAUUUCACUAUACGGUUAUGUACGAAGGUUUAAACAAUUGUUUAUUAUGAUUUAAAUUCAUCGUUUAGAAAAAGAUUACUCGCACGCGUUUGAUCGAUUAAUCGCGUGUUGACUGAGAUAUUUUUUAUAUUUUACAUUGUGAGUAUGUGAGUUUUUCCUUUUUCAAAAAUGUUUUAUACAGUGUAAAUAUUCUACAGGUGUACUAUAUUCUUCAAAACCCCUUAACUUUCCUCCUAACUUUUGUAUUCAUCAAAUUUUUUUUAAUGUUUUUCUUAAAAUUAUUCCUAUUUUUAGGCAUAGGAGUGGCAAGUAUACAUUCGUAAUAAACAUUUUAAAAAAUAGUAAAAGUAUUAAAACUAAUUACAAAUUUUAUUUCAGUAAAUAAUAAUUUUUUUUUUCAUAUUCAUGGCCAUUUCUCUUUGUAAUAUUUUUUAAAAUGCAAGUUACAAAUUUGUAGGAUAAUCAAAUAAUCCAAAUCAACCUCAUACAAAUAAAUAAUAUUUUUUUUUUUUUAAAUCAGAUUUUAUCUCAAAGCUAAUAUCUAUACAUCAUUUGUGAAUAAAUAUUUUUUUUUACUCAGAAGUCACUUUUCUUCUUGAUUUUUUUAAUUAAAAAAUACACCUACCUAUUUAUCUCUAAUAUAAGAGAUAUUAUAUCUACCAUCAAAGUUUAAAAUAAGAGAUAACAAAUUUAGUUUUAAAUUUUAAAGAAAUAAUUUUAGAGAAACAUAUUUAUUCAAAUUUGUUUUGAGUAAUACGAAUUCUUUCAAAAGAUAUAUAUACAGAAAAGAAAGAAUAUUUAGAUUCUUAAUUUAAUUUAUGUUUAUAUACCUAUAUUUUUUUUUGAAAACACGUGUGCACGUAGUUCCAAUAAUUUUGUAAAAUGUUUUAAAUUCUAAAUUUAGGAAAUUAUUAUGAUAAAUUAUUUUAAAAGGAAAAAUGGUUAGAAAUAUAAUUAAAAUUUAACCUAAUGACUUACAAAAGUAUAUAACAAAAUAUCACUUCCACUUUAAAAUUUCGUUAAUUUUUUUUCUUUUUUUUACUAUAUUUUGUCAUUUUAUAAAUAUAUUUUUAAAAUUUAAAUGUGUGAUGAAUUGGAUUGGAUCACAUGCUUUAAAAAAUACAAAGUAUUGCUUCUUUUUUUUUCGUUUGAUUGUCAAUAAAUUAUUAUUUUACUUUAUACUAUUUUUUUAGAAAAUGUCAUGCAUGCAACCUCGCACUACUAUUCAACACACUAUUUAAAAUUAUUUUUCAAACACUAUAAACUACUUUAGAUAUGAUAAAUUAUAUAGGGUCAAAUAUAAAAUUUAAGAAACAAAAAUGUAUUCAACUGACGAAGAGACACGAAACUAUACAUAUUUCUAUGAGUAUAAAGUAUAAACUUAUAUCUUGUAUGUUUGAUAAAAUGGAUAUGAGCGAUUAUAAGCAUAUAGUUAUAUUAUCUAUUAGAACCCAGUAACUAAAGUAUUAUUCGACUAUUUUGAAGUUCAAAAAUCUCACCUACUAGAUAUAGCUACGUAUAUGAUCUUAUUUAAAAUUAAUUUUCUUUAUAAGAAAUAGUCUUCAACUACUUAUUAUAAGUUUUUAUGUUUUACCGUUUCUUUCCUCCAUGGUAUUGUCUUUGGAUGAGUUUUGAAUCCAAGACGUUUGGAUUUCAAAGGGAGACACACUCACUUUACCAAAGAUAGAAUAUAGCACAUGUCCCUUGUCCCUUUAAUAGAUGAUCUGCCAACGUGUUAUUGUUAAUAAUGGUUUAAAUUUUGUUGACAUUUUUAAUUAUUUUUUAAAAAGUUAUAGAUGAAAUCUAGAAAAUGUGGAAGUUCGAUUUCUAGAAUUUUUGAGGUGAGAAGUCGAUUCUUUCUAAGAUAGAGAUCAAUCUCCAAUAAUUUAUCUUUAAAAAGUUAAUGGGUUUUUUUAUGUUCAUUAAUCUAUCGUCAUGUUCAUAUAAUAUUUUGCAUUAAUUGCUAUAUUGAUGUUUGAUUCUUGGUAAAUUUCGUCUAACACAUUUGAAAGUUCUUUAAAAUAUAUUUUAUAAAUUCCUCUUAUGUACCAUAUUAUUGCGACUAUUAAAUUUAUAAAAUAUGAAAUUUCAAUUUUCUCUCAUUCUUAGAUGAGAAAAUUGAUUUUUUGAAAAUGUGAGAUUGAUUUCCAAUAUGUUCUUUUCUAUUAAAAUCUUAAUAUGCCAUGUUUGUUUAAUUUUACAUAUCUUCUUUACUUUAUCUAAUUUUCUUUUUAAGUCUUAUUUUAAUUUUCGUUUAAAAUUUAUCAAUAUUUCUUAUUAAAAUUUUCAAUAUUUAAAAUUCCUUCCAACUUAAAUUUCUCUACAUUUAAAAAUCUUUUACAAAACUUUUGAUUAAAUUAUAUAGAUUUUUUUCUUCCAAUUUACAAAUUUUUAUGUUUUUGAUACGCUUAAAUUUUAAUCUAUGAUUUCAUCCGGUUUUAUAAUCAAUUUUUUUUCCGAAUAAUUUACAACGUUUUUCUUAAACAAAAUCCUAUGAUAUCACAUCUUUUCGGUUCGAAAUUUGAUCAUAAGAAAAAAAUGAUUUUAAUUAAUGUUUUUUAAAAAAUCUUUAUUAAAAAGUUAUUCUUACGACGGAUUUUGAAAAAUUGUACUAAUUUCUCACAUUUUUAAAGAGAGAAAAUGUUCUUCACUAUAGUCUAAUUGUUACGAUACUUAUUUCAUGAGAUUAUUGCUUCAAAUAUUGGAGUAGUAAAGGUAAAAUAAGAUAUUAUUUUUAAAAAAAAUUAAAGUAUAUUUUCAAUACAGAGGAUUUGAAUUUUAGCUUGAGAUUUCUAAACGAGCCAACUCUUUUUUUCUUGUUCUAUUUUAAAAUUAACCAAUUUUGAGGACGUCGGCCACUCCAUCCGUCGGACAAGUGGUGAUAUUAGUUUUUUGUUUUAUAAUUAUCAUAUAAUAAAACAAAAAAGCUAACAUAUAAACCACACAAUAUUCAAAACUAUCUCCUUCCUUUCUGAAGAAAGAUGUAGGCCGGUCAGUGGACAUUAUAAAAUAAUAUAGCACAUUUAAUUUCUUACACCAACAUUCCUAUAUAUACACUACAACAUUUAAAUUCAAUAUCAUAUUGAAGUUCUUUAAUUGGGGAUGUACAAUAGCUUGGUUGGAAAAAUAUAAUGUGAAAAGGAAAAAGAUAUGACAAAUAAUAAAUUGUUAAGAGCCCAUGCAGGGGGAAUUGCACCCGAAAUAAGUAUAGAGUCUUUGGUCUAAAAUUUGGCCUCUUUUGACCACUUUUUCAAUGAGCUAAAAAGCCAUGCAUUAAUGCUUUCGUUGCACCUUUCUACUUAUUUUCUUCAUUAUUGCUUCAUUCAUUUGUUUGUCUAUGCAUCCUUUAUUCCAUAAGUCCUGAUAUUAUUACUUUUUUGGGUUAUUUUUCUACAAAAUAUUAGUACGUGUGAAGGUUAGUUUUGAAUGUUAAUUUUAUCAAGAUUCCAUUUAUAAUAUGAUUCAUGUGCAAAAUAUGGUCAAAGUUUUAAUCUUGUUGAUUUAGGUUUUGGAGUUAUAUUCCUUAUGACUUUGGAUGCAUAUUUAAAAUUUAGACCAUUUUAUUUUUAGUCCUUUAACUUUGGAUACUCGUGCUACCUAUAACUAAAUAUGUACCACUUUGAACCAAUAAUCGACAACCACUUUGAACCAAUAAUCGGCCACCACAUGUAAGCAUUAUUCAUUAUCUAAGAUUUCAUAAUUUGACACUGAUUUUAAUCCUAUUUAACUUUUAGUUUUUAAAAUUUGUACUUGUUUUCUUUUAAUUUUCUUGGUAUGAUUUUCACACAUUUUUCAGGAAAUACUGCACUUUUAGGAUUUUCAAACAUUUCUUAGGGAAAUGCUUGCACUCCCAGUUGAAUUCUAAAAACAAAAAACAAAGGAAAAACAUAAAAAUUUCUAUGUAGAAUUCGUAUUUAUAAGCUCAUUAUUUAAAAUUAAUAAAAUUAAAAAAUUAAAAAUUAAAAAACCAAAUAAUUAUGGCAGCAUUUUGUGACCCAUUUAGUUUUUAGUUUUAAAAAUCAAGCUUAUAAUUUAAGCACUACUUUCCUCACUAUAAUUCCAUUUUAUUAUAAGACUUUCAGCAAAUAUUUUUCAACUACCAAACCAAAUACUAAAGCCUAAUAUCUUUUUGGAUAACCAUCUCAUUUUAAAAUUUCAAUUUUUGAAAACUAAAGUCCUAUAAACACCUCAUCUUUCUCUAAGUUUAUUUGUUUUGAUAACUAUUGUCUACCAACGUUUUAAAAAAGCCAAACAACAUUGUGAGAACUAAAAAAAGUAGUUCUAAAACAUUUACUUUUUAUUUUUAGAAUUUGGUGAAGGGUAAGAAAUUGAAAAAACAUAAACUCAAUUUUCUAAAAGUAAAAGCAAAAAUUAUAGUAUAAAAUUGAAAGGAAAAAAAGUAAAGGAAACAUACAUGAAAAGAAAAAAAAAAGCAUAUAAGCCUAAAUAAACAAAUAUUUUAAGAUGGUUGUUUUCAACAUGAAACAUGGUUAAAACAUGGUUGAUUAGUUCUUGGAAUUAUUGCUGCUUUAAUUUUCUCCAUUUAUGAUUACUUUUGUUGAAUAAAAGAAAAUUUGGAAAAUUUGUUGUACAUAAGCAUUUUUUUUUAUCACGCGCACGACUAUAAAGAAAGAUUUUUAAAUAUAACAAAAUGAAUUAAAGAUAUUUUUUAAUUGUGUAACAAAAAUCUCGAUACAUUAAAAUCCACAUUACAUCUUGCUUUGAAUACUUCACCACACUCAAAAAUAUUGAUCAACUAAAGAUUAUAAUCAACAAACCCAUAUAUAUGUAUCAACUUUUUGCUAAAUAAAUCUAAAUUUUUAUACAAAGUUUAUAGGGUGUAGAAAUGUGUUGAAAAGUUUUAGGAAUAAAAUAAGUAGGAUGUUUUUAGAAAAAAGUUUUAAACUAAACCUAAAUAUAAUCAUAUGUUUAUCCAAUAAAAGAAAAUAUACAUUUAAAUAUUUGUUCAUUAUUAAUUAUAUAUUUCAGGUUGAAUACACAAGUUUUAUUUUUUUUAUAUCGGUAAGUGUUCAGGUCAGUUUAUAUGCACCUCGACGAAUAUCACGAGAUACCUUAUCUGAUCUUACAAUAUUUGGAUGUCAAGAAAACUCGUAACAAAUUAACUCCUAGAUAAGUGGACAUAAUAGAUUGAAUCAACCAUGACAUCUUUUAGUCACAAAAAUAUACAACCUUUUUCUUUUUAAUUCUUUUGCAAAGAUAUCGAUUUUAAUGUGGGGGAGGGGAAUCAUCAAACUUUUGAACUUGAGUUUAAUAGCAUAAGUACUAUGUCCAUUUGAUAAAUAUACGUCUUAUAAAUGUUGUCCAAAUGUGUGCUCUAGACGACGUGAGCAACUGACGUCCUACAAAAAUGUUAAAUUUGACUAAAAUAAAAACAGAAAGGAGUUCCCCACCAAUUUUUUUACAGUGUAACUCAACACUGAAAUAAAUUAAAUAAUUUAAAAAUAAAAUCAAUAAAAAUAGUAUUAGAAAAACUAGAAUUAAGUUCGGGAGUCGUUUGUGUAUGAGAAAGAUGUUAGCACCAUCCAAUAACGCCCGUUUAAAAACAGUGGCCAAAUUUUAUAUAUUGAAUUGAAAUAAUUAUUUAAAUAAAAAUAAAUUGAAAAAAACAGGAUUUUUAAAAAUAUCUUAUUUCACUGCUCAUGUGAGAUCCUGAUCGUGUUAUGAAACUACACGUUAAGACCACAUGCGAGAGAAAUUAGUUGCAUUGAGUUUUCACGCGAUAUUAGCUUCCUAGAAGUGGUGCAAUGCAAACUAUGUAAGGCAUUCUAGUUGUACGAUAAGAAAGAGCUACAUGUUGAGAUGAGAGGUGACAUGAGCUUCCUUCACCACGAAGUAGUUGACAUCCAUCCUAAAUAAUAAGUGGAGUUUGAAUUGACCUUGCCGUCCAAUUCGUUCAGAAUAAGGUAGUGGCAGUUGCUGUUGGAAAACGAACUUGCGCUAGACGCAACUGGAUUAACAUAAAUUUUUUUAUCCAACCUUAGAACAUAAACAAAAUGUGCAUAAACAAUUAAAUCAUGAAUAAACAUACAUUUAUGCCGAACUUAUCCAAAUCAAAUUAUAUUGUCUCUAUUCUUGAUAAGAAUGAUUCUUCAGUUUGUAUCACCAAAACGUUGCGAAAUCACAAGCGUUAUCUGACAGUAUCCACACACCAACUGAGAAUUUGACUCCUCGAAUUCGGGUCCUCUAGAAUCUCACAAAGUGAGAAUUUUGACUAUCGCUACUCUUUCUCUAUGUAAAACGAUUUUUUUGUUUUUACUUGUAUAUAAAAUAAGACCCCCAAGAUUUUAUUUAUAGGUUUCCUGGAGUUUCGUAAUAAGCUCAGGAUGCCUAAUAGGGCACUUCUAAUUCUUCAAUUGGGCUUAUAAUUAAUUAUGUCUCCUAAUAUGUUUUCAAUUCUCCAAUUUGACUUAUUAAUUCACUACUACAAAUUUGGUCUCUUGACACUCGUAAAUUUUGAUUUCUUGAUGGUCAUGACAAAUAACCAUAAAAAAAAAUUGAUACAAUGUUUAUCUUGGCGACCAUGUACGUCAAGAUAAGUCCCUUUAUUUUGUUGAAGAAAUACGAAAAAACAUAAAAAAUGUGGAUUCUUGAUUUCCUUAAUGGACAAAGUUCCGUUAGUUUUGUUGAUGAUCCACAAACAUCAAGAAAACUAUUUCUUGAUAGACAAUAAACAUCAAGGAUAAGAUAUUAGUUGAUUGGCAAUGUCCAUCAAGUUUGUUAGAUUUUCUUGAUGGACGAGGCCCGUAAAGGGUUGAAUUUUCUUGAUUUUAAUGACCAUCAUCGAAAAAGAUUAAUAUAUUUGUUUUUUAUUUUUUGAUGAGUCUAGGAUUUCUUAUGGACAAAAACAAAAAAAGAUCAUGAAAAAGGUCCAUCAAGAAAAAUGAUAUGGGUUAUCAAGAAGAAUGACAAAUUAUAUGUUUCACUUUAGAAAAAUAGCAAAAACAAUUUUAAAUUGUUAGAAUAGCAAAAGACAGAAAAUAUAAAAAUAAAUAAAUAAAUAAACCCCUAAAAUGUCCUUAUCCAAACUAAAAAAUUCGAAUUGUUUAGCACACUAACUUAAACUCCCGUUACACUCUAAUUGAAAAAGAAAUAGUACAUACAAAAUUGCCUCCAAAUAACUAAAAUAAAAAAAUAUAUAUCGUUACUGUGAAGCUCCACCUCAUACAUUCAUAAUUUAAACUUCUCAAGGUAAUCAUUCUCUUCCUUGCAGAAUCAACCACCAAAACAAAAUCAUUGUUAAGAAAUUUUGACUUAAUCAACAUAAACCAAUACACGUCCUUGUCUUCACCAAUCCAAAUAAGGGGUUCGAACUGUUACAUCUAUCCCAAUACAGAGUAAUGUGACACACAUAAAUAUGUAAGGAUGGAAAUUUUUUAUCUUGAAUGCACUGUAAAAAUUCUUGAAAUGAAAAUGAGCAUGAAACAAAUACAUCAACCACACACUAGUCAAUAUAUUGAGAAGAUUCUAUCCAUCUACCAUUAAAAAAAAAAGUCUUCACACGUUGCAUUGUCAUUAUAAAAUAUGAAGGAAUUCCAAAACAGGGGUACGAUAAGUGCGACCACUAAAGAGGACAGUUGCAGUGAAAUAAUUUCAAAACUGAAAACAAAUUCAUUCGAAUACUUUUGUAUCCAAAAUAAAAGUCAAAUUAAGAAAAAAAAUUGGUAUAAUUAAAUAAUUUCAAAAUAAAAAUCAUAUAAUUCUCACGACUUUUUUGGGAUAUAUAUUGUCAUUUGAAUAAUAUUUUUUAGUGUUUUUGUAGUUUUAAAUCAAUAUUUAAAAUCAAUUUUAAAUGAUAUUCAAUAAAAUCUAUGGAAAACAUCCCUCGUUUAAAAUGAUAAUUACAUAAACUGAUUUUAUUCUUGCUGUUAUACUAACAUUUAAUUCAUAAAGUAAUGCUUAAAAAUAGGAAAGAUACACUAUCUAUAUGAAUUUGUUAUUAUAUAAAAUGCAUAACUUUAGGUAGAAUAUAUUAUUUUAAAUUCAAAUUUUGGAAUCUUCGUUCCAACGAAACCUACCAUGAAGGAAUAACAUUAUUAAUGAUUUAAUUAUGUGAAUUAAAUAGUGUAAAUUAAAUAUGUAUUAUUAUAUAUAAUAAUAUGGUCAAUCCAUUUAUUGAAAAAUUUGUAUAUGCAUAAUUAUAGGGAAUAUACAUAAGUUGUUACUAUAUAAAAUGCAUAAUUUUAGGUAAAAUAUAUUAUUUUAAAAGAUAAUUUGUUAUCAAUUUAAGGCAUGAAUCUACCAUAAUUUAGUUAUAUGAGAUCAAUAGAUAAAAUAAAUAUUUAUUUAAUUUUUUUUGAAGAUAAAAUUGAAUGAUAUCCAAAUACACUGUAAUAUUAAUUUUACAGGAGAUUUUCGUUAUAAGCAUGAUAUUUAUUCUAUCAUGGAAUAAAACCGGGUGAAAAAAUAUAAAAAAUAUCUAUUUUAUGAGAUUUUGCUAAAAAUCAAAUUAUUUUUAAUGUUUGCUAUUUUCUCAAAUGUACUUUCAUUAUUUUGCUAUUUUCACAGUUUUCUCAAAUGAUAUCUUGAUGGACAAAAAAUUAUAAUUGUCGCGACGUGAUCGCUACGCGGAGCGGCCAAUCUCCCCGUUUAUUUAAUUUUAAUAAAUAAAUAGUUUUAGAGUCGCCACCAACCAUAUUAGGUGCGAUUGGUCACCAAAAAAAAAGAAAAAAAAUGGUCUGCAUAAAUUCAUGACAUCUAAGUUCGGGAGUCGUGUGUAGGGAAGGGGUUAGCAUUACAACACCAUUAAAAUGGUUAUCCAAUUUUAUUUUUUAAACUAAAUUAUAGAGGUUCACAAAACAAAGUUUUUAUUUAGGUUUUAUUUAAAUGUCUCAAGUUUAUCAAUUCACAUCAAAGAAAAUAAAACCCAAGCAUGAAUUGAUAAUUAUGGGUGGCAUAAGAGCCAUUAAAAAAUGAAGUUUAUUUUUGUUUUAAAAGAUUUUUUUUAUUCACCUUAAAAUUUGAUAUUUUAAGCCAUUAAAAAUAUUAAGUUUAUAGCAAAUAAUUAUAGCAAGAUGCAUGCUGAUUAAUUAAUUAAUACAUCAUGCAAAUAAUUAGAAUAAGUGAGUGUCAAAAAUUAAAUUUGUCCAUAACUAACACAUAUGCCAAAUAGAUAAUUAUUAACGCUAAGAUACCACAUGGAUACAAGCAAUUAACAUGAAUUAACACAUCAUUUAAUUAAUUAACCAAAUGAAAUAAUUAACAUAACACCCAAAUGGAUGUCAAAUAAUUAAUCCAUAACACAUUAAUUAAUUAACCAAGUAGCUAAAUGGAUGCGAAAUAAUUAACCAGAUGCAAAACACUAAGUAAUUAGCAUAGCAAUCAAAUAGUCAAAUGAGUGCCAAAUUAAUUAACGAGAUGCAGAACUCAACAAUCAAAAUAAUCAAAUGGCCAAAUGGAUGUGAAAUAGGUGUAAGUGAUUUACACACAAUGAAUGUGAGAUGGGUGUCAAAUAAUUAAAAGAAUGCAAAUAAUUAAAAGAGAUCAAAUGAGUGUCAAAUGAUUAAUAUGAUGCAAAUAAUUAAAAGAUGUCAGCAGCUAAUUAAUGGGUGAUUUAAAUGAAUAAUUAAGACAGCAUCAAAUGAGUGCCAAAUAAUUAAGCAAGUAUCAUCAACCAUAAAUAAAAAAGGAACUUACAGGUCUGCCCUUAAAUGCAAAAUGUUCUGAUCCUCUUCAACCCUUCAACUCUUCCCAAUGUUCUGAUCCUCUUCAACCUUUCCCAAUUUUUUUUUACGUGUCUCCCUUCUCUAUCAAAUAAUCUUCUUAGGGCAAGGUCUCAUUUUUUAGAUAGUGAAGUGGAGUGCAUGAGAGAAGGGGAAGAAGGUGGAAGAGUGGGAGAAUGUGAGAGAUUGGGAGAGAGUGGGACGUGGUGACCAAGAAAAACAGGGAUGGUUGAGAAAAAUAAGGAGAAGAAAAAAAAAAACUUUUACUUUUAAAUUUUAAAUAUGUUUUUAUUUUUAUUUUUGUUUUAAAACAUAAAUUUAAAAUUUAAGAAUUAAGAUUUAAAAUUUAAAAUUUAAAAUUUAAAUUCAAAUUCUUUUAAAAAAUAAUAAAUAAAUAAAAAAAACAAAAAAAAAACAAAAUACGGUAUCUACAAUCAUUUUGGGUUUAUGAUAAGAUCAUCCAAAAAACUUAUCAAUAAAAAUCAAUCAUCUACCUUAUUUUAAAUUAAAUUAUUUUUAUUCACCUACUUCUAACCCAAAGUAGAAUUAAUUCCUAAUUGACAUCUUACAUUGAUUUUAUCACCCACAAAACGACUAUCAAUAAAUAAAGUCUUCUAAUAUCUCUUUAUAAGCUGACCGAAUUCACAUAAAAUGAAAUCUUGUGUGAAACCGAUCAUUAAUCACAAAUAUGUGGCCAUUAGAUUAGAUUCAAAGUAUUAUAUAAUCAUUACAUUUUUAAAAAGUUAUAAAUAUAACCAAAUUUGUACUAUAUGGUAAAUAUUGAUUUAUAUCACCAAUAAAUUAUAAGUCUAUCAACGAUAAUUUGUUAUAUUUGUAAUUUUUUUUAAAAUGCUGCUUUGUUGUACGCUUGAUUAUAUCACUAAAAUUGCUAUCCAUUUUAACAAGUUUAGUAAAAAUAAUGAAAACAAAAUUCCUAUCUUAAAUAUAUAUUAGGAGCAUUUUCAAAUAUAGCACAAUGAACAAAAAAAAAUAUUUACAAAAUAUAACAAACUUUUAGAUUCUAUCAACAUUUACAAAAAUAGAUUUUAUCAAUGUCUAUAAUUUUUUUAGGGACAUUUUUAAAAGUAGCAAAAUAAAUUAAAAUAUUUACAAACUAUAACAAAAUUUUGGAUUAUAUCACUUAUAGUCUUCUAUCACAAUAACAUAUCAAUAAUGACUAUAAGUGAUAGAAUUUGCUACAGAUUGUAAAUAUUUUGUAAAAUCUAAUAUUUGUAAAAAUUCCUAUUUAUUUAAUAAUGUGUUUUUAAUAAAUAUCGACAAAAAUAGAAUAGGCGCGAAACUAUUGACAAAAUUAGUGGAGCGAAGUUGUGUACUUGUCGUGGACCUGAUACAUGUCUACGAGCUGAAAUAUGAUUGGAGUCGUGUACCUGGUAUUAUUGCUUCCUGAUCCAUGUUUUAAUUAAUGGCAGAUUGGUGUGGACUUACGUGGGUCAUAUGAUUUGCUUUCAUAUCGUUGACCUAGUACUCGUUGAUUUCCCGACCGUGUGUUCUGAUAAUUAUUUUUAAGUUUAAUGGAUAUUAUUAUUUUUUAAUAUAUUUUUAAGUUUUAAUGGACAUUAUUAUUUUUUGUGAUUAUUAAUUUGUUUUUUAUUUUGAACUUUUCAAUGGACAUUAUGGUAAACUUAUAAUUUCAAAAGAACAUGAAAUUUUGAGUUCAAAGACUAUAAAAAUGAUCAAAAUUGUAUUCUUACACUUAUAUAACUAAUAUAAAAAUGUUAAAAAUAAUAUAAUAAAAAAAACCAACCCGUCGGUUCAAUCCAAAUUUUUUGGGUUGGGUUGAGUUGAUCCUUUAAUAUUGAACCGAUAGGGUUCAAAUUUUGCUAACCCGGUUACUUUGCAUUUUUGUAAAGAUAACUACUUUUUCUAGUACUCGUCAAUUACCAGACGCUUCAUCACAUUUGAUGACGCUUACUAUUAUUGCAUGUUAAGAAUUUUAAAUAUGAUUUGUUUUAUAAAUUUAACACAAGCAUGCACAUUUUUUAAUUAUAUUAUUUCCAAUCGUUCAGAAUAAUUUUGUUCAAGACGUACAUAUUUAUUCCAUGGAAAACAAUUCACAAGAUUUGAACUUAAUGUGUGACCAAACCAUGGAAAAUAUAGAACAAAUUAUUGAGUAGAACCAACAACUCAAUGUUGUCGCACAGAUCAUGGACGCAUUCGACGUAGACGAGUACAAAGCGAUGAUGUCACAGAGAGAUGAAGAACAUCCUUAGUUUGUAAUCAAAUUUUUAAUUCUUAUAAAUGUUAGUUUUUUUUCUAAGAAAUUAAAACAUAAUAACCAUAAGGUUUGAAUAUUAAGUUUUUUUUAAUUAUAUAUUUUGAUGAAUUACAUUUUUAAGAAAUUAAACAUUAAUUUGUCAUUUUGUUUUUUUGUAAGAAAACCAUAUAGCAGCAGUGCACAACUUCCACUAAUUUGCUCAUGUUUCACAUGGAUGAAAGUGGUCAAUCUGGAUUGACGUGUAUUUAUGGAAGUUGUGUACCCCAUACAUGACUUCUUUCGAUUUCCAAAACCACCUUAAUUUUCUACAAUAGUUUGCUAAUAUACUCUAUUUUGAUUUUUUUUUUACAAACUACCUAUAUUUGUCAUUAUUUUAAAAAACACUUUAUUUUUUUAAAUAACCCCAAUGUCUAUCAAGAAGUUACAAAAAGUUACGAUAAACACUAAUAGGAGUCUAUAAAUUUUUAUAUAAUUGAUCGAAUAUAAAAUUUUACUAUAUUUUAUAAAUAUUUUCAACAACAAUUUUAUAGAAUUAUUAAAUAAGUAGAUAUGUAAACUUAUAUCUUUAUUAUAAAAUUACAUUCCACAAAUAACACAUGAAUAAAAUAAGAAAUUAUUGAGAAAUUAUUAGAAACAACAACAAAAAAAUAAAAAAUUACAAGAAGUUAAUUACAAGAAAUGAAAAAGGAUUUUUUUUCAAUCAUAAUAAAGAAAAUACAAACUAUAUAUGGCAAAAAUUUCUAAAAGCAAAAACUCAUUCCAUGCGCACAAAUUGUCUAUUUCAUUAUUUGUGAUAGUUCUCCAAAAAAAAUUUAAAAUCGAAAAAACACAAUUCAUAGAGAAAUACGAACCUCGCGUACAUCUAAAUUAUUACAAUCACACAAAAUACUCUCUAAUAAUAUUACAAUAUCACUCUCAAAACUUUUUUACAACCCACACUCUUUUCUUUUUACAUGAAAAAUACGAAAAAUGAAAUUUAACUCGAGUUAAUAUAUUUAUAUUAAACUUAAAAGGGUGUUUUUAAUUAGUAAAAUUUAGAACCAAAGUCAUAGUUAUCUUUUAAUGGUACUUGAGCCUAUUAAUUUCUUAAACGUGAGAUAAUUAAAUAAUUUAACUUUUUCUUAUUUUGCCAAAUAUUUUUAGUGGUUUCAAUAGCUACUAAAUUUAAUUCUUUUAAGGUUUUUUUAUGUAUCUAAAUUGUUUAAAUCCAUAGUUAUAUAUAAAAUUGUGGAUGAGAUCAAACUUUUCUUUUUUAAUUUACCCUUUAACUUUAUUUUUCAAUUAAAAUUUAAUUAUUGUAGUUAUUGCUAAAAUUUUUCGUAUUUGUAAUCAUCUAUAGUUUUCAGUAGAUAUUAAUUAUGUUGCUAUUUGAAUUUUAGUUAACCUUUUCAUUCCUCCACCCACCACUCUCUAACCAUUAAUCAUCCUUUUAUUUUUUCGUUUUUAAUAUAUCACCACCCUCUUAGUUAUAUUUCAAUUCCACCAUUAAUUAUUAAGUUAAAUUUAUUAUUUUAUCUCUCAAUUUUGCCUAAAGGUUCACACAAUUUAAUUAGUAGCAAUUUUAAAUCUACCUACAAUUUGUCAUUACUAAUAUUAAUAAUUAUUAAAAGAAUAAAUGGAAUGAAAAAAGAAUAUCAUAAAGACAUUAUUAUACGUUUCAUAAUGAUAUUAUAGGGUUUCAUAAUGAUAUUAUAGGUCUCAAAAUUAAUAAUUCAAAUUUUAAUUCAUUCAUUUAUGUUUGUCUUCUUCACCAACGCCUUUAAUCAUUUAUCUAUAUAUGUUCUACUGUUCUAUUCUUAUGGUAAAGAUCAAAGAUGAAGGCUCACAUGAGAACAUAGGUGAAGAGAAAAAAGGGAAACGAGAGUGGCAAUUUAGAGGAAAUUGUAAUUUUAAGUGUUCUUUUAGAGUAGAGUUUACCUUGGAUGCAACAAUUCACCCUCUAAUAUAUGGCUUGAGGAAGGAGUAUUCAAAUUUUGACAUUCUUCAUUUAUUUUGGUUCAUUUUUAUUUCGAGCCUCAUGAGUUUAUAGAAAAAAGAGAAACAACGUAAAGUUCAAGUACUUUUAUUUAUUUAAUCAUUUUCUCUUUUUAUGAAAAAAAUAACCAUUAAAUUAAUGUGUUGUAUUAUGGUUUUUUAUUUUCUAGCAAGAUCAUGGAGGUGAUGGUUUUCGUGUGCGUAGAGGUGAAAUUGACUAUGAGUACAAAUGAUAAAUGUAUCUGUAUAAAGAGAUUCUACUGUUGAAGAAGCUUGUUUAUAAACUAUACCAAAAGCAAUUGGGAGAGCUAAGUAAAAAAUAGAAAAUGAAAUUUUACUGUAUAAAUUAUUGUCUUGAAUAGUUUAAUAGGUGAAAUAUAGAAUUAUGUUUUAGAUGAGAAUUUUGAUUUGCAUCCACGUAACAUUAGUUUAAAUUAAUUGUUAUAUUUGUAUAUUGAAUUAUUUAAAUUCUAAAAUCAUAUAAUAGAAACAAGAUGCAACGUAUUUGAUCGACCAAUAUACUAUUUUCUGAAUGUAUACACCUUUCACGUUAAAAAAUCAUUUUUAUUAUGAAAUCAUACAACUAACUUAUUUGCAUGCUCACAUUUUAUUACACUUGAAAAUACAAAAACACGUAUCUUAUUCAAUUUAUAAAAAUCUCACUCUUAUAUAAUAAAAUAGAUUUCAUAUGUUUUGUACUAGUUAUUGACUAGUAAUAUUAAAAUAUCAUUAUAUUAUAUGAUUAUUGUACUUUUCAUUAUUCAUUUUCGCUCACAUACUUUUAAUAAAUCUUAAUAACUAGUCUCUUUAACUUUAAUUUUUUAAUGAAAUUUGUUAAAAUUGAUAAUAAUUUUUGCAUGCAAUUAAAUACUAUAUAUAUAUAAACGUUAUUCAAUUUAAUUUAUAAAUGAUAUCUCCAUAGGUCAUAUUUUGGAAGAAAAAAUAAACAAGAAACAACUGCAUUGAAGUAUUAUAACAGAGGACUAAAUCUUUGAUAGGUGUUGGUGCCCAAGGUAGGUAAGUCUAGAUUGGAAGUUUACUCAAUCAGAAGACCAACAUAUGACUAGCUAUUCUGACACCAUAAUUUUUGGUGCAGGAGCAAAAAAGAGUAAGUUAGAAUAUAGCAUACCUCAAGAUAGAGAACAAGAAUGAAAUUGCUCGCUCUUUGACUGGGUAUCAGAGAAUGGAAAGUACAUGGAUUAAAAAUAAAACAAACCUAUAUUUAAAUUUCUAAAAAGUUUCAAAUUUUAAUGACAGUAUGUGAAUAUAUGGUAAAAUUUAUAUUAUAAAAAAAAAGAAUUGUUGAACAAUCAAUCCUAAACUAAUUUUGGAUAAAGAUUUAUUAAAAGAGUAUAAAGUUUAGAAUUUAAAUAAUUAAAAAUAUACCAACCAAAGUGAUAUUUUAAUAUCAGUAAGGAAAACAUGGUUAAAAGAGUAAGAAAUGUAUAUAUAUUAAUUGAGUAAGAAGAAAUGAUAUAGGUGGAGGAAGCAACACGUUUCUUGUUGAGAAAAAGAGAGGGAUUUUCAAAGCAUAUUUGUUUAUUUUUUGGAAUGGAAACCAAUAAGGAAUUUAGAAAAAUGGAGCUGUCUUCUUUCAAAGGUCAAAAUAUGAAGCCUAAGGUUAAUUUAUUAAUUGGUUGUAAAUUUGCUGUAUUUCAGCUGUCAUAUUACAAAACAAUUCAAUGCUUUACCCUAGCUCUCAUAUAUAUAUAUAUACACACUUUCAAUUUCAACUCAAACCCAUAACUAAUAUAUGAUUUUUUGUACCAAAAACUAGCCUACAAGUAUAUUGAUUGGUUUCCUGUUUACCCUAAAAAAAAAUACUAAUAAUCUUUAAUGGAGCUUUUCGGUCUAAAAACUUUAGUAUGACAUAAAUAUUUUGUGAAAUUGAGACGCUAAGUUUAUUUUAUGAGUGCAAGCAACCCUUAAUUUUUUUUUUUUUUGUCAAAUAUGUGUGUUCUAAUCUCAUAAUGUGCAUAUUCAUUACCAAUAAUCGUGGCUUUAACUAUGACUUUCUCAAAAUUUUCAAAGUAGUUGUAUGCAAUGUGUUUUUACUUGUAAUGAUGUUGCGAUAAGGUGUAGCUAGUGUGAGAGAAAUAGUUGUAGAGUAUGACAAUAGGCUAAUGUUAGUCAAUGUAUUUUCAUCAUUGAAUUUUUUAUGAUUGGUUUCAUAUCUAUCCCAUGUACCAUUUAGCUUAGAGACUCUUAAAGAUUGUUUAUUCAAUGGAGAUUCAAUAUUUGUAUGGAAGGAUCAUCUGGAUUACUCUAUUCAUUUUUUGAGACUGAAUGAUACUCAUGAGGUUGAAGACAAUGUUUAUACCAAACAUAUUUAAAUUAAAUGUAAAACAAGAAAAAAAGAAUGACAUAUAAACAUAAAUUAAACAUAAUCUAAAUUACUCCAAAUUUUCCAAAUCUAUUUAAUCUACCUCUUUAUUAGCAAUGGAGAUGAGAAAAUGUAUCUAUCUAAUUGAAUCGCAUAUAUUUUAAUCUAUAAUAUUUUCAGUAAAUCUAAAAUUAUUUUUUUUUCGUUCUUUGAGAAGGCUACUUUUUGUUAAAAUUGAUUAAGUAAUAAUGGUAAAAAAAUUGAUAGCUUUUUGUAUCGAAAUCAUAGAUUCGUCACUAAAAUUAUAACUAUAUAGUUUCAAAGUUCACAACUUCUAUGGCUAAAAAAGCAUUAGAAAGUUGAGUCUAUAUGAACUGCCUUUCAAUGACUUUUUGAACAAUAAGUGAUCCAGCAUCAUACGAGCAAAAAGGGUUUUGGUUGUAGAAGUUGUCAAAUUUCAAUGAUGAUCAUGAGUCAAACUCCUCAAUAAAUUUUCAUGUUUAUUGGAUAUGAUCAAGAUUCAAUUCCUUCAAAAUAUAAAACAAAAGAAAAUUAUAUUGGCUCUAUCUUGUUGGAGAUGCCAUUCUAAAAGCCUUCAAUUUUGUCUACCUAAAAGCAUGAGUUGCCCUAAAUAAAUAAAUAAAAAAAAACGAGAAAACGAAAAGCAAAAUACAUAUAGAUGAAGAUGCUCGUAAACAAUGAUCACAAAAUCAGAAAUCAACUUAUCAAACAAGAAAAACACUUUGCCUUUUAGGAACAACAGGUUCCAAAAUAGUUGAACUUUUUUUUUUUUUUUACAAUGAAAAGUUUUUAACUUAUUAGCUAUAGUUCAAACUUUGACAAUCUUUUGUAAACCUCAUCACACAAAUUAAUAGAUUUGAGUGCAUCUGUGCAUUUAAUGAGGAAGAAAAUGAUGGUCUAGACCUCUUAGUUUGUUUAUGCAAUCCACAAAACUUUUCCAGCAUCUCAUUCCAUCACAUUCAAAAAUCUUUCAUAGAACAUUACAUCAUGGAAGAGAAUUUUGAUGGGUGCAUCUACUUUAAUGUUAAAUAAAAACUUCACUCGUCAAGAAUAUACGAUUGGUCAAAUUGUACAUUCAUUUAAAAAAAAAUGGUUGGAGUGAUUGUCUAGAAAGGAUAUUAAAUAUAAAUAUGGAAGAAAUUAUUAUUAAAACCAAAUUAAAGUUGAUGAAGAAAGUGAAUAAUUUAUGUAAGUAGGAAACAAAUUGAUUAAUUGACCUCUAAUUAACUAGUCUAACCUAAAUGAAAAAGUAAAGAGUUGAUUAAAAAAGAAAAUACAUAUACACCUCGUGCUUCGUAAUUUGCUUUCUUCAAAAUUCGGUCGCUCUAAUUACAAAGUGUUAAUUAAUAUAAAUUUCCAACACUUUUUAUUUGAAUAUUUAGCAAUCAUUGAAAGUCAACACAUUUGUUUGGUUCCAACACAACCCAUUGGGCAGUUGGUUUUGAAAUUCUCAAUUUUUUUUUCUUUUUUUCUAAUUAUAUUACAUAUAUAUAUAUAUGUAUGUAUGUAUUAGAAAAAUUCUAUUUAAUUUGAAUAUUAUGUAAGUUGUUUGAAUUGAGUCAAUCAUUGCAUUUAUUUCCCACUCGGCUUUGGUCGGUUCCACAUUUUGCCUCUUUUGUUUCUAAUUAUAAUACAAUUUCUCCCCAUUUUUCUUUUUCAAAAAACCAAAAUCUCACUUUCUUGGAAAUACCACAUUAACUUAUUUUUUCCCCUUAAUAAAAUAAUUUAUCAUCCAUUAAAUAAAAUAAUUCAUCAUCCAUUAAAUAGAAUAAUAUUAAGGAAAAACAACUUUUUCCCCUUAAGUUUUUUAUUCGGUUCAUGUUGGAUAUUAAGGCUUUAUUACAUAAAACAAUUGCAGACGUAGUACGUAUUUGGUUACGCUUUUGAAUUCCUUAUGUAAAUUGCAAUUGUUGUGUACUAUUACGUAGUUAUUUAUGAAUAGAUGGAAUGAGCUCCUUCCACGUAUACAUAAGAUGAUAUAAAUGUUUAAAGAUUUGAGUGGACUGAAUUUGUCGAAAUGCAUGUGUACUUUGUGUAGUGUCCGAUAGUUUUUUUGUAAACUGUUUUAUGUCUAUUUCAUCUUUGUUUUCUACUUAAUCACAUGACACAUGCGUGGAUACAUAUCUUUAUCAAUUUGGAGCAACUCGAGUACUUAGUAAAUGGUGAGGUAUCUUUUUAAUAGGAAGUUCUAUUCAAUUCACAUUUCUACCGCUAUACUUGUAUUGACCUAUUAAAAUUUCAACAUUCAACUAUAGAAAAUUUUGGAAGGAAGAUUCUUUUGUUGUGUUGAAUCCACAACUAAUGGUUGUCGAUAGGUAUGACUUCAACAAGUAUGAAGUAGGAAUGGAUGAUUUUACAGCAAAUACAACCCCACCCCCCACUCCCUACCGAAGUAACAAAAUGUGUGGUUCAUGUCUUAAUGUAACAUACAUACAUUUUACGUCAUUCUAAGUUGUUAAGUUCUUUAAAUUCAGUUAGACUUAAUGUGUGAGGCCCUAAUCCAGAAAAAGGGAGUCCUGUUGAAGAAGAGCUUUGCUUAGAAGUUAUUUCAGAUAAGUGUAAGUAUAGAACAUUCUGUAAGGAAGGAUUCAAGAGAAGAAAAGGCGACGCAAAGAGAAAUGCUAAGUUCUAUCGCAUUAAGGUAAGCGACGCGAUAAGAAUAGUCGACGAGGAAGAAGCAUGUCAUUGGAUGUCAAGAGCUAGGCAUUUAACAUAGUAAUAUAUGGAGAAGUACCUAUGCCUAAGCGAGUGUGGCGAGGAGGUAGGCAUCCCGUUGAAGUGAUUAAACGACCCUCUGAGGGAAGUAAAUGUCUAUUGCUUUUCAAGAAGAUAGAGAAAGUCAGUCGAUUAAAGAGUUUGACUUUCCAACGAUAUAAGGUUGGUGUCUCAAUGAAACAUCCAAUCGUUGCUGACAUUUUAGCCUACAUGCCAAGUUUGGGUUGGCUGCAUGGUGGGGUGAAUUGGUAAGGUGACACGUGUAAAGCGUUUAAAUGACCCUCAGAUGUAAAAGGCCAUUAUAAAUAGAGCCAAGGUUAAAGGAAAAAGGAGUUUUGGAGACGUUAGAUUUUUGGAUGAAAAUGACAAAGGGAAAGUCUGAGUGCUGAAUAGUUGGUCGUGAGAACCGCUAGACAAUAAGAGAAAGUCGAACGCCAAUAAGGAAGGAGUUUAGAUUAAGUAUUUUUGUGAGUGAUUCUUAUAAGUGAAUAAAUGUUUGCAAGUGAUUCUUCAUAAAGUAAAAUGAGUAUUUGUUUACGAAUGAAUGAUUAUUUAUCACGAAAAUGUUUGUAUUUAUGAUAUUCAUCUAAAAAGAAAUGUUUUAUAAAUAUUGUGUUACAAGUAUUCUUUCGUAACCCUGUGUUUAUGCUUAUUGCAUGACUUUUUUAUUUUUGGGAUAAUCUGUGUGAGGAGUAAGCAGUGAGCUAAUACUCCAUUUUUACUAAUUGUGUAGUUUGUGCUUUGUGGUGUGGUAUGAUCUAUCACAAGACGCUAGUGAAAAUCUCAGGUAACUUGUGUGACGCUGGUUGAAUGUGAAUCCAAGCCCAAGCGAGGAGAGAAUCCCAGAUCCUGGUGAUGAGUUUGGAGUGUGUGAUGACUUAAAGCUUGUGAAGCUUAUUUGUGCUUGUGAUGAUGGUUUGUUUGUGUUUUAAUCCGAUGUGAGGAUCUUGUGUUUGUGAUAUGAGCUUGUUAUUAUCUGAACUUGUUGUAUUCCCCAAAUAAUUUUUCUCAAACCUAUCACUCACUAAGUCCUUUUGACUUACGUUUUAAGUUUUUCCCUCUUUAGGUUGUCAAACAUUGAAGCCAAGUAAAGGAUAGUUCUUAAGCGUGAAAGGCAAGUUGAAGAGGGGAGACAUUUUUUAUGUAAGCCUAUGCGGCGUGAGAGUUGUCACUACACCUCGCAUUCAAGGAGUUGGUUGGCAAGUUCACCGUCCUUAACGUAGAUGGCCUAGCUCAUAAAGAAGACGAGUGCAACACCAAGACUGGUAAGACGAAGCUCAGAGAGCUAGAAAACCGAAGAGCUAAGUCAGAAAAGGAAGCCCUAAACGCUGUCUGCAAAAAUGGAUGGUUGGACGAUCUAGGUGAAAGAUGAAGUGAAGCCUUUACACCUCUAAGUACCCUGUCUCAAGAAGCAGCGUUUGACGGCAAAGAAAGAAAAUGAGUCUUAUACUCCAAAACACCUCGACACGAAGAAGCAACACCUUGGUGGAAGAAGAAGGAUGUGUAGAUCAAUCUUUGUUUUAUUUUCCAUGCAAGAAAGAAAAUGGUUGUAUUUAUAAUUUGAGCUCUGUGUAAAGUGUUAAGUUAAAAAAGAUAGAGAGGAAGUUAUUUUUAUUUCGCUGGUAUUCUUUUAUGUUUAUGGCCUAGAAGCUAAGGUUUAGAGCUAAGUGUUAAGUACUAGACCAAUGAGCUAAGUCCAAGAGUUGUUCUUUUUUCCCUGAUGGUCUCUAAGGUCCAUCCCCGUAAGUUUUUCUUAUAAUUCUUAUGUUUUGUUGGUUCUUUGAGGUGACAAUAUUUAAGUAUGAUCGAGAAUGAUGAAACACAAGCCCUCAUAUCUUUCGAUGAAGAUAACAUUUAUCAAAUGUCUAUUAAGAAAUUUUGGUUUGCAUGAGUUGAAUUAGAUUAUGUGUUGUAGUGUUCUGACUAUCCUGUAGUUAUGGUAAACAUAUAAAAGUUAUGUCGUAUGAUGUUUAGACGUGUGUGUUUUAGAAUUCAUGUUGAAAUAUUCUUGGAAAAAGGUAAGUUUGAUAAUUUUUUAUGUCUUUUAUAUUAGUAUUCUUGUUGAGAGGUUUAUGCUUUCCAUUAAGUUUUAUGUGUUCUUGAGGCAUUUUGUGUGCUUAUUGAGAAGAUUAAGUCUGCUUAGCAUAUACUUAUUAAAUGUUAAUAAAAGCUCAUUUUUUGUGAUUUUGCAGCUUUUCAAAGAAUCAGUGGACCAUAAAAACAUGUCGAUUUAUGCAUUAGUUUUCACAGUUUUAGGUGAAUAAUAUGUGUCACAUGUAUUUUAUUGUAUUACCAUUUAUAGAUCUUUACUAGAGAUAAUGUAAUUUAAAUUUUCAUUGUCAAUGUAUAGAUCUUUCUAAACAUAUAUGGGUAAUGAUGUCUCCUGCAAAUCCGGACUUCGAUUUUUUUACAGCAGAAAAAAAUGUAGAAAUAAGUAAUUACAUGACAAAAAACUCGUGUUGUGAUCUGAAAAAUAAUGACGCUCAAGAAGUGUCGAUAUAUAAGCAAUUAUUACACAAGUACAAUGUCAUGAGAGUACAUAUGUAGACAAUAACUAUGUGUAAUGAAAAGCUAAUACAUGAAACAAAAAAAAAUCGUCAAUAACAAAAAAGCUCAUGAAGCCGACCAUUUUUUUUUAUAUAUUCCUAGUUUGCCUUCUUUUCCAUCUCUUUCUUCUCUUCCUCCUUUACAAUUUUUCUUUUCCUUUCCAUCGUCUUUCAUCUCUUCUUCUUCUACAAAUUUUUAAGAUAGAUAUUGGUACACGAUCUUGAACAAAAAUCAUUGAGAUAUUGAUAUACAAUCAAAUAUAUAACAAAUUAAAUAUAAAAAUCGUUGGAACAUUGGUACGUAGAUUUGGGUACUAAAAUCUAAACUAUCAUGUAACAAAUAAUCUUUAAAAAAUCAUUGGGAUAUAUUGGUGCACGAUUGUUUAGAUUUGGACCAAAGGAUCUACCCAAAUCUAAACUAUUAAAUAUAUUAUGCGUGUUGACAAAAAAUUUUAAUUGUGGGCUUGUAGACUUUUUUCGUUUUUAAAAUUGUUCAAUACGGAGUAAAUAUUUUGUCGCUUUGUUAUAUUUUUUUUUUUAAAAAAAUGAAAAAUGUAAUCAAAUCUAUGGAUGGAGGAGGGAGAAAGAGAUGAAAAACGUAAUAAAAUAUUCAAAUCAUCGUUUUUAUUUUAGAAAAAAAUUGUCAAAUACUUUUCAAUAAAAAUUGUAUAGUACAUAAAUUUUUGUGCAACAAAUCGAUAAAAGAUUUACACUGUAUGGAACAAUUCAGAAAAAAGAAAGAAGCCCAUAAGCCUAGAAUAAAAAAUAUAAAAAAUGUCACAGUCAACACGCGAUUAAUCGAUCACACACAUGCAUGUAAUUCUUCUUCUAAAUGAUCACGACACACGAUCAUGUAGGUAAUGAUACACAAUCAAUUUUUAUAAUAUCUAAAAUUUUAAAACUAAGAGUCCAUUUCGAGUACACGUAUUAAUUUUACCGAUAUAAUUGUUAAACGUUUAAAAUAUUUGAAUGAUUGAAAUAAUUAUAGGUGUGAUUGUUAAUGUUUCAACUUAAAUAUAUGUUUUAAAUUAAGUUACGAGUUUUGUGUUAUUUAAACCAUUAUUUAGUUUAUGGUUAUAUUAGUUAAUUAUUUAUUGAAUUAAAAUAAAAAAUAAUUGAACACAUUUAUAUUAAACAUAACUAAAUGAUAUAAAUAGUAAAGAUAGUAGUUGAAUUUAAUUGACUCUAAAUAACAUAUUUAUAUUUAAUAAUUAAUUAAAAUUAAUAAUAAACAAGCAAACACAUUCAUUCAACCUUGAAUUUCAAAAAGAAGUGGAUAACAAAUAAUGUGAAACAAAAAAAAAAAAAAGAUGGUUUUUCCAAAAUAAAAUGAAACAAAAGUUGUAAUACUAACAAAAAGUAGAUGUGAACAAAAAUAUGUUGUGAAAAAAAAAGAAAAGAAAAGAAAAGAAGAUGUAAGAUGUUUUUGAUAAGGGUCAAAAGUUUAAUUAUGAAGAACAAUACUAGGAAUAUAUAUAAAAAUGAAUGAAUGAAUUAAUUAAGAAUUAAAGGUUUUGUGAAAGAAAAAUAAUAAUAAUAAUUAAGAGUUUAGAGGGACCAUAUAGCCCCAUUCCACCCUAGCUGCUCCACUACCUAGAGAUAAUAACUACUCUACCAAUAUUUGAACAUUUUAAUAUGCUUAAUUAUUACACUACUAAAUAAUAAUAAUAAUACAAAAUUAAUCAUCUCCCUCACUCUCCCUAACUACUAAACUACUAACUUCCUCUCUUUUCUAUUUUUAACCUUUUCAAAAAUACUAAUAUUAACUCUUUCUAUUAUAUAUAUAUAUAUUCAUAUAUCCAAUAACUUCCAUAUUAAUAAACAUGAGUAAUGAAGAUAGUUAAAUACCAUUCAAAUUGAAUGGAUCCUUCGUUCAUUUUGAUUUUUUUUUUCUCUCAUUAUACUAAAAACAAAUACAAGGGUUUUGGUAAAAGGAGUUGGAUGAAGAGAAAGUAAGUUGAAAAAAUAGAGCCAAAAGAAAGGUAGAAUAGAACAGUUUUAAUUAAGAUGUUUAAAAAAGAAGUAGAAUAAGUUAGGAAAUGAGAGAAGUUGGAGGAAGAAUAUAUUUAGUAUUGAGAAGUUGUAAGAAGAAAAAGGGGGAUGGACAUGGACGUAUUAACAAAGAGGUUUGGCGUUCGAGGCCCGCCAAAAUCUCCCUCCUCCGUCUUCCGCGGAAACACUUUUCUUCAAACAAAAAUUACAAAAUACAAUAUUUAUUAUUAUUAUUAUUAUUAGUUAAGAGUUAAAAUAUUUAUUCAUUUCUUAUCUCCCUAUCCAGACAUUUGAAACUUUGGACAACAAAUUAACUUUUGUAAGGUGUAUAAUGUAACGACUUAGACUAGUUGAUGAGUGGAGAAUAAAAAAAACCUAUUUCUAAAAUAUUCAAUCAAAUUUAACCUCUACCCUUAUAUUUUUUUAGUACAACUAGUGGGAGGUAUACAUUUGAGCAUUUGACUCGAAGGUAAAGAAUAUAUGCCAAUUAUGAUUGAGUAAUACAUAUGCUAACUUACUUAUCAAGUUUCAUUUAUAAAAUCAAAUGGUUUGAUAUAAGUUAUGAGACUGAGGAGCUGUAAACUUUUGGAGAUAGAAGAACUAACAACAAUAUUAAAUCAUGUUUCAACUCAUUAAACGAAUUAGAAAGACAAGUAAUCUUAAUUCCUACAAAACCGCGACGAGGAAAUUUGAUAAGGGUGAGGUGAAACCAAUUUAGAAAAACAAGAGAAAAGAAAACGGUAAAAUUAAGAUGUCGAUAUAAAGAUGAUAGAAAUAUUAUAAUAAUGAAAUAUUACUUGUUUAGAUAAAUUUAAAAAAAAAAAAAAAGUCAAACAAAAGAAAACAAUCCUUUUUUUUUUUUUUUUCAUUUCUCUAUUUAUUAUCGUCUUCUCACUCUCUCAAUCCUUCCCCUUCCUCCUCCCCACUCCCCAUUCUCUCUGUCUUUCUUUAUUCAACUUUGCUUUUCAUUCACUUUUACCCAAAUUCCCAUUUCCUCAUUUGGGUGAAGCAAUUUUUCAACAUCUAAAUCUGUUGAUGGACAACCAAUUCUUCCUCAAUCCUACUGGAAUCUCUCAAUCUCUUAUGCAUUUUGAUUCCAAUCCUUCCAUUGCUACUUGGCACCAACAAUUUUCAUCCCCCAUGGAUCUUCCAACUCAACUUCCUGACCUUACUCACUGUUCUUCUUCCUCUCACCAAUCGCCACCGGAUUGUUUUCUCAAUCCGGUUUCCGAUCAGAGCUUUCAAUUUGAUUCUGCUUUGAGUUCCAUGGUUUCUUCUCCAGCGGCCUCGAAUUCUAACAUAACCAAUGAGAGCUUCGCGAUCAGAGAACUGAUCGGUAAAUUAGGUGGAAAUUCUGAGAGGAGGAUCUUGGAAUUGAGUAAUUCUACUGCCGCCGCCGCAUUGCCUCCUUCUUCUUCGAGUGUGGCCGAAUUUUCGUCCGAUCCUGGAUUUGCUGAACGAGCUGCUAGGUUUUCGUGUUUUGGAAGUAGGAGUUUCAAUGGCCGCCAGUUGACGAACGAAUUCGGUAAUUAUAGAUCUCAUCUCUCCAUCGGUAAUGAGAAAUUGAGCCGAGUUUCGAGCAGUCCAUCGCUUAAAGCACUUGGAUCUGAAAUGAAUUUGCAAGAACACAAGAACAAUUCCUCAUCGCAAGAAGAUGAAUCGUCUCUCUCGAAUCAAGACAAAACGAUUACGAAUCCACGGAAGAGAAAAGCAAUUACGAAGGCUAAACUCAAAGAACCGGUAAGAUUCCAACAUCUCAUCUCUCUUUCUUCUACAUCUGAAAUUGUGAAAUCAUUCCCUGAAAAUUGAAUUUCCUUGUUGUUCUGCCAUUGUUGCAGGUGGUUGAAGCUACUCCCGAAAAAGAAAGUCCGAAGAAGUUGAAGACAGUGGAAAGAAAGGAAAACGUGAAAACGGAAGAGGAUUUGAAGAAAAACGAUGAAAAUUCAGCGGAAGAGAGACAAACAAAGGCGAAUUCAAAACCUCCUGAAGCUCCUAAAGAUUACAUUCAUGUUAGAGCAAGAAGAGGGCAAGCUACAGAUAGCCAUAGUCUUGCUGAAAGAGUGAGUAUGAAACUAAUUAAUUACAAAAUUGAAGAUCAUUCUGAUGAUUGAUAAUGUUUAAUAUGUAAAAUAAAAAUUCCCGUUUUGUGAAUUUGAAGGUUAGAAGAGAGAAAAUCAGUGAAAGAAUGAAGCUUCUUCAAGAUCUUGUACCAGGUUGCAACAAGGUUGGUCAAGAACACACACACACACAAAAUUGUUAAUUGUUACUUUUAUAUAUACAUAUAUAAAUUUGAUUGAAGAAGAACUAAAAAUAGGUAACUGGAAAAGCUUUGAUGUUGGAUGAGAUAAUCAACUAUGUGCAGUCAUUACAACACCAAGUUGAGGUAAUUAAAAUGGGCCACUUGAAAACUUUAUAGGGACAUAAUUACAAGUUUAUAAAUGAAUGAUUUUGAAUGUUGGGUGGGUUUCAGUUUCUUUCCAUGAAGUUGGCUUCUGUGAAUACAACCAGGGUGGAUUUCAACGUGGAUUCUCUUAUCUCUUCUAAACAAGUAAUUCUUUCUCCCACUUUUCUUCUCUCUCGAACCCAAACCUAAACCAAAUAUCAACAAACAUACACAUUAUUACAAAUUAAAAUUACCAUUUCUUUUCUUCUUUUUAAUUUUAAUCUCUGUCCUCCCAAUUAUCCAAUUUUACUCCAUAUGUAUCAAAAUCUUUUUAAAUAAACAAUAAUUAGACAAUUGAAAGUAUAUGGAGGAAAAAAAUAUAUUUUAACUAAAAUAUAAACAUUAAAAAAAAAAGAAAAAAAAAAAAGAAAAAGGAAUUUUCUUUUCCCUUCACUUUUUCUUUCUUUACUCUUUAAACUUCCAAUUCACUUUAUUAUCAUUAUCUUUAUUUUUUUGCUUGCUUUAACAAAAAUUAUAUAUUUUUUGGGGGGUUGAGACAGAUGUACCAAUCAGGAACAAGUUUGACACAUCCUCAAAUUUCCCCUAUAGAUUCCUCAACUUCAAGCUUUUAUGGGCACCAAAAUUCCUCUCUUCCAACCACCUCUCAUUGCUCUGUGGACCCUAUUGACUCUGUUUUAUGCCAAAAUCUUCCUAUUCAACUCCCUCCUCUCAAUUCCUUCCUUCAAAAUCCCUCUCAGGUAAUUCCUUUUACUAUCCAACCUUUCCUAAAACAAUCAGGAUCAUUACCAGUCGCUAAUUACUCGACGACUAUAUUAAUUUUUUUUGUUCUAUGUAUGACACAGUAUCCAAAUUUCGGAGAAGAUGAACUUCAAAGCAUUGUUCAAAUGGGGUUCGUCCAAAAUCAGACUCAAGAAAUAUCAUUACAAUCUCACAACUUCAACUUAGGUAAUCAUCAUACAUUGUAAUAAUUAAUAAUCAUAAUAAUAACAACAACAAUAAUUUUACAUAUAUUUAAUUUUGAAAAUUGAAAGUGGAAUUUUGUGAUUAUGCAGGCUCAGAUCAAAUGAAAAUUGAACUCUGAUCUCUUCCUUCAACACCAUAUACAAAGGCGCUGCUGUUGUAAAUAUAAGAGAUUAAAUUUUCAAGCAUUGAUUAAAAGGCAAAAAAAUUCCCAAUUUAUCCCAUUUCUUAGGUCUAAUUAAGGAGAGAAAAAAUUACUUUGUCUUUUCUUUUUCUUUUUUUUUUUCUUUUCCAAUCUGUUUUAUAUUUUAAUAUUGUUGUUUUUUUUUUCUUCUAAUUUUGUGGGAUGAGAGAGGAAAGUUUCUACUUUUCUUACAACUUUCCACUGUAAAAUCUCUAGAAGCAAGUCUGUCCCUAAGGUGCAAAGUUGUAUAGCACCAAAUCGUAAGAUAAAAAAGCCAAAAAAAAAAAAAAAAAGGAGGGCUAAUUUAAGGGAUUAUUUUUUAUAAUUAUUGUCUCUCUCUCUCUCUCUCUCUCUCUCUCUCUCUCUCUCUCUUCCCUUUUUUAAUUUAUCAGCUUUUAUUAUCCAUGGUGUUGGACAUUUUGUCCUUUGAUGUAAGAUAAGGAAAUUUAAAAAAAAGAUAAAUAUAAUUAAGAACAAAGAACUUUAGGAGUAAUAAUAAUAAUACUAAUAAUCUUUUGCCACUUUUAAUGUUUGGUUGGGGUGAUGUCAAAUCAAUGGUAUUUUAUGAAGUAAUCAAAUAGAUUUGAUUCUUACUUAAUGUUGUAACCAGCUGUCUAAAUGCACUGUCUGUACUCUAAAAAAACAAAUA
RNAcentral lists this long non-coding RNA (35260 nucleotides) under Cucumis sativus (cucumber). RNAcentral describes it as "long non-coding RNA (CSAT_LNC002851)". The record is from RNAcentral. Lineage: Eukaryota; Viridiplantae; Streptophyta; Magnoliopsida; Cucurbitales; Cucurbitaceae.